AAUGUAAAUGUGGAGAACACUUAUUCUUUCCUCUUGUUGCUUGUUGUUUCUUAUUUAAGAAACAGUUAUCUGUAUUUGAGUUAGUAUAGUAACUGUUCGUGGGACUGAAAUUGCCGCUUUGCCAGAAAUCAGACUAUAGAAGUAUUUUUAGCUCUUUGUACUGCUUAAAAGCCUGGUUGACUGCCAUUAUGACUUCCAAGGUGGAAAGCAUUCCUCUUGUUAGUGUAAGUUAAAUGGCUAAUGGAUUUGGGUUUUUUUUGGCAUUUUGAAAUCUAGGUAUUUUACUUUGGAAGUUGAUGUAAGAGGCAAAUCAAUUCAGAAUACUGGGAUAUGGUUCAGUUUCUUAUGAAGUUAGGUUGAUGAGUGGAUGUGUGGUAAUCCCUACCUCUGCUGUCUUCUCAUUGUAGACCUGCGUGCAUCUUUUUACCUAAUUUUUCA
Non-coding RNA from Sesamum indicum (sesame), 438 nucleotides. NCBI's taxonomy places the organism in Eukaryota, Viridiplantae, Streptophyta, Magnoliopsida, Lamiales, Pedaliaceae. The record is from RefSeq and is a predicted model, not a curated record.